AUGAUGCCCACACUUAAUCUAGGAAUACAUAUUCUUGUUAUAUAUCUCAUUUUCCUAGCACAUCAAAUUCAAGGAGACCAACUUCUUCGAACCAAUGAAGAGACUGGGUAUCGACAUGUAUUUGGAUCAGGAUAUGACAAGGACACCCCUUAUAAAGCUGCACAUGCAACAUAUGCUGCUAGCUACUUUGGGCUUGUUGUUACUAUGGAUGUAUAUGGGUACAAUCUCAUUAAUGGCCAAGUGAGCACAACAAAAAUUAUAAUUGGUAACUUGGAGGAUGGCAAAUCCAAUGAGGAUGCAAUUUGGGUUGGAUGGCAAGUUUACCCAAAACACUAUGGCGAUUCACAUACUCGUUUCUUCACACUUUGGACCCCGAGAGACGCUUAUCGUACUACAGGGUGCUUUGACAUGGAGUGUCCUGGUUUUGAGCCAGCAUGGGGAGCAAGACUAAAACCGGGUGCAGUAAUAGAUCCAUCAUCGCAUCAAAAGAUUACAAUCAAAGUGCUUCAGGAUAGGAAAACUGGGGACUGGUGGAUCCACGCUGGAUUUAAUGGUUCUACAACAGUUAUUGGGCGUUACCCAGCAAAACUAUUCGACAAGUUAUCCAGAAAAGCGACUAAUAUUGCAAUGGGUGGUGUGGUUGGAGCGGUUGGUAGUACCCCAAGCCCUCCGAUGGGUAGUGGAUACUUUCCCUCCAGUAAAGCCGCUUCAAUCACCGGCAUUUCAUACAUUGGAGAAGAUGGAAAACUCAGACCGUUUGCCCUCAAUACAAUAAAAGUGGAGACUAAGAGCAGUUGUUACUCUGUCACACCUAUUACAAAUGACAAGUUCUCUUAUGGAGGGCCUGGAGGUUGCUCCACGCGUGCUUUUUAG
Molecule: ribosomal RNA, 873 nt
Filed under: Triticum aestivum (bread wheat)
Lineage: Eukaryota; Viridiplantae; Streptophyta; Magnoliopsida; Poales; Poaceae
Description: partial small subunit ribosomal RNA
Source: RNAcentral